RNAcentral lists this ribosomal RNA (253 nucleotides) under uncultured bacterium. RNAcentral describes it as "partial 16S ribosomal RNA". It matches the Rfam family "Bacterial small subunit ribosomal RNA", at positions 524 to 776 of the family's 1533-position model. The record is from RNAcentral.
UACGGAGGGAGCUAGCGUUAUUCGGAAUUACUGGGCGUAAAGCGUACGUAGGCGGCUUUGUAAGUAAGAGGUGAAAGCCCGGAGCUCAACUCCGGAACUGCCUUUUAGACUGCAUCGCUUGAAUCCAGGAGAGGUGAGUGGAAUUCCGAGUGUAGAGGUGAAAUUCGUAGAUAUUCGGAAGAGCACCAGUGGCGAAGGCGGCUCACUGGACUGGUAUUGACGCUGAGGUACGAAAGCGUGGGGAGCAAACAGG